RNAcentral lists this ribosomal RNA (841 nucleotides) under Acinetobacter junii. RNAcentral's name for it is "bacterial SSU rRNA". It matches the Rfam family "Bacterial small subunit ribosomal RNA", at positions 102 to 938 of the family's 1533-position model. The record is from RNAcentral. Lineage: Bacteria; Pseudomonadati; Pseudomonadota; Gammaproteobacteria; Moraxellales; Moraxellaceae.
ACGGGUGAGUAAUGCUUAGGAAUCUGCCUAUUAGUGGGGGACAACAUUCCGAAAGGAAUGCUAAUACCGCAUACGUCCUACGGGAGAAAGCAGGGGAUCUUCGGACCUUGCGCUAAUAGAUGAGCCUAAGUCGGAUUAGCUAGUUGGUGGGGUAAAGGCCUACCAAGGCGACGAUCUGUAGCGGGUCUGAGAGGAUGAUCCGCCACACUGGGACUGAGACACGGCCCAGACUCCUACGGGAGGCAGCAGUGGGGAAUAUUGGACAAUGGGGGGAACCCUGAUCCAGCCAUGCCGCGUGUGUGAAGAAGGCCUUAUGGUUGUAAAGCACUUUAAGCGAGGAGGAGGCUACUGAGACUAAUACUCUUGGAUAGUGGACGUUACUCGCAGAAUAAGCACCGGCUAACUCUGUGCCAGCAGCCGCGGUAAUACAGAGGGUGCGAGCGUUAAUCGGAUUUACUGGGCGUAAAGCGUGCGUAGGCGGCUUUUUAAGUCGGAUGUGAAAUCCCCGAGCUUAACUUGGGAAUUGCAUUCGAUACUGGGAAGCUAGAGUAUGGGAGAGGAUGGUAGAAUUCCAGGUGUAGCGGUGAAAUGCGUAGAGAUCUGGAGGAAUACCGAUGGCGAAGGCAGCCAUCUGGCCUAAUACUGACGCUGAGGUACGAAAGCAUGGGGAGCAAACAGGAUUAGAUACCCUGGUAGUCCAUGCCGUAAACGAUGUCUACUAGCCGUUGGGGCCUUUGAGGCUUUAGUGGCGCAGCUAACGCGAUAAGUAGACCGCCUGGGGAGUACGGUCGCAAGACUAAAACUCAAAUGAAUUGACGGGGGCCCGCACAAGCGGUGGAGC